RNAcentral lists this ribosomal RNA (245 nucleotides) under uncultured Tissierella sp. Its description in RNAcentral is "partial 16S ribosomal RNA". It matches the Rfam family "Bacterial small subunit ribosomal RNA", at positions 796 to 1041 of the family's 1533-position model. The record is from RNAcentral. Lineage: Bacteria; Bacillati; Bacillota; Tissierellia; Tissierellales; Tissierellaceae.
CAUGCCGUAAACGAUGAGUGCUAGGUGUUGGGGGUCAAACCUCGGUGCCGCAGCUAACGCAUUAAGCACUCCGCCUGGGGAGUACGUACGCAAGUAUGAAACUCAAAGGAAUUGACGGGGACCCGCACAAGCAGCGGAGCAUGUGGUUUAAUUCGAAGCAACGCGAAGAACCUUACCAGGGCUUGACAUGCCUCUGACCACUCUAGAGAUAGAGUUUUCCCUUCGGGGACAGGGGACACAGGUGG